ACUCCGUACGGGAGGCAGCAGUAGGGAAUCUUCCACAAUGGGCGCAAGCCUGAUGGAGCAACACCGCGUGAGUGAAGAAGGGUUUCGGCUCGUAAAGCUCUGUUGUUAAAGAAGAACACGUAUGAGAGUAACUGUUCAUACGUUGACGGUAUUUAACCAGAAAGUCACGGCUAACUACGUGCCAGCAGCCGCGGUAAUACGUAGGUGGCAAGCGUUAUCCGGAUUUAUUGGGGCGUAAAGAGAGUGCAGGCGGUUUUCUAAGUCUGAUGUGAAAGCCUUCGGCUUAACCGGAGAAGUGCAUCGGAAACUGGAUAACUUGAGUGCAGAAGAGGGUAGUGGAACUCCAUGUGUAGCGGUGGAAUGCGUAGAUAUAUGGAAGAACACCAGUGGCGAAGGCGGCUACCUGGUCUGCAACUGACGCUGAGACUCGAAAGCAUGGGUAGCGAACAGGAUUAGAUACCCUGGUAGGAUAGCG
Molecule: ribosomal RNA, 475 nt
Filed under: uncultured bacterium
Lineage: Bacteria
Description: bacterial SSU rRNA
Rfam family: Bacterial small subunit ribosomal RNA
Source: RNAcentral